RNAcentral lists this ribosomal RNA (440 nucleotides) under uncultured bacterium. RNAcentral's name for it is "partial 16S ribosomal RNA". It matches the Rfam family "Bacterial small subunit ribosomal RNA", at positions 338 to 795 of the family's 1533-position model. The record is from RNAcentral.
CCUACGGGAGGCAGCAGUGGGGGAUAUUGCACAAUGGGGGAAACCCUGAUGCAGCGACGCCGCGUGGGUGAAGAAGCGCCUCGGCGCGUAAAGCCCUGUCAGCAGGGAAGUAAAUGACGGUACCUGAAGAAUAAGCCCCGGCUAACUACGUGCCAGCAGCCGCGGUAAUACGUAGGGGGCAAGCGUUAUCCGGAUUUACUGGGUGUAAAGGGGGCGCAGACGGCGAUGCAAGCCAGGAGUGAAAGCCCGGGGCCCAACCCCGGGACUGCUCUUGGAACUGCGUGGCUAGAGUGCAGGAGGGGCAGGCGGAAUUACUGGUGUAGCGGUGAAAUGCGUAGAUAUCAGGAGGAACACCGGUGGCGAAGGCGGCCUGCUGGACUGCAACUGACGUUGAGGCCCGAAAGCGUGGGGAGCAAACAGGAUUAGAUACCCUUGUAGUC